Molecule: unclassified non-coding RNA, 314 nt
Filed under: Hevea brasiliensis (rubber tree)
Lineage: Eukaryota; Viridiplantae; Streptophyta; Magnoliopsida; Malpighiales; Euphorbiaceae
Source: RNAcentral
GACCGAUGUUGUUUCCUGCUUUCCUCUUCUUCUCGUCGAUUUAAGCUGCCUUGUUCUAGUGUGCUUUGCCGCCACUGCCUCUUGUGUUAAGCUGAUAGAGUUUUCGGAGCUAGCAAUAUCGUCAAGUUCCUACAUUUUUAUGCGACUAAAGCUGAUCGCAAAUUCGAGAAGGAACUUCAGUUUUAUUACAAGGUUAGAGAUACGGUUGCCAGUUUGACUGCACAAAAGCCCAUUACUAAGGCAACACUUGUCCAACCCCCAUGCCUCUUUGUUGUGGGACUCUAUCAGCUUUUUACCUUCACACCAAGCUCCAA